This 253-nucleotide ribosomal RNA is filed under the name uncultured bacterium. RNAcentral describes it as "partial 16S ribosomal RNA". It matches the Rfam family "Bacterial small subunit ribosomal RNA", at positions 524 to 776 of the family's 1533-position model. The record is from RNAcentral.
UACGUAGGGUGCAGGCGUUAAUCGGAAUUACUGGGCUUAAAGCGUGCGCAGGCGGUUUGCUAAGACAGGUGUGAAAUCCCCGGGCUUAACCUGGGAACUGCGCUUGUAACUGGCAAGCUAGAGUGUGGCAGAGGGGGGUGGAAUUCCAGGUGUAGCAGUGAAAUGCGUAGAGAUCUGGAGGAACACCGAUGGCGAAGGCAGCCCCCUGGGCUAACACUGACGCUCAUGCACGAAAGCGUGGGGAGCAAACAGG